Molecule: ribosomal RNA, 392 nt
Filed under: Entomacrodus nigricans (pearl blenny)
Lineage: Eukaryota; Metazoa; Chordata; Actinopteri; Blenniiformes; Blenniidae
Description: partial 12S ribosomal RNA
Rfam family: Bacterial small subunit ribosomal RNA
Source: RNAcentral
GCUUAGCCUUAAACACAGAUGUUUUACUUACAUAUAACAUCCGCCUGGGAACUACGAGCACUAGCUUAAAACCCAAAGGACUUGGCGGUGCUUAAUAACCCCCUAGAGGAGCCUGUUCUAGAACCGAUAACCCUCGUUAAACCUCACCCUUUCUUGCUUAUUCCGCCUAUAUACCGCCGUCGUCAGCUUACCCUGUGAAGGUAAAAUAGUAAGCAAAACUAGUACAACUUAAAACGUCAGGUCGAGGUGUAGCGAAUGAAAGGGGAAGAAAUGGGCUACAUUUCCUGUCAACAGGAAAUUAAACGAAAAGUAUAAUGAAAUUUGUACUAGAAGGAGGAUUUAGUAGUAAGAGGGGAAUAGAGCGCCCUCCUGAAAACGGCCCUUAAGCGCGC